AGAGUUUGAUCCUGGCUCAGAAUGAACGCUAGCGGUGUGCCUGAGAUAUGCAAGUCGAACGGGAUUUAGUGAAGCCGCAAGGCAGAUCUGAAUUCAGUGGCGGACGGCUGAGUAACACGUAAGAAUCUCCCCCAGAGUCUCACAUAGCUCACCGAAAGGUGGGGUAAUUUGAGAUUGUCCCUGACGCAAGUUAGGGUAAAGCCGCAAGGCGCUUUGGGAUGAGCUUGCGUCCUAUCAGGUAGUUGGUGGGGUAAUGGCCUACCAAGCCUACGACGGGUAGCUGAUCUCAUGAGGAUGAUCAGCCAGAGGGGGACUGAGACACGGCCCCCACUCCUACGGGAGGCAGCAAUCAGGAAUAGUCGGCAAUGGACGAAAGUCUGACCGCGCGACACCGCGUGUGGGAUGAAGCUCCACAAGAGUGUAAACCACUGUGGUAGGGGAAGAGAAUGGACGGUACCCUACUAGAAAGUAGCCGCUAACUGCGUGCCAGAAGCGUCGGUAAUACGUGGGCUACAAGCGUUAUUCGGUGUUAUUGGGCGUAAAGGGUCGUGUAGGCUGAUGGGCAAGUCACUUUUUAAAUCUUUGGGCUCAACCCAAAAAUUGGUAGUGAUACUGCUCGUCUAGAAGUAUCUUUAGGGAGAACGGAACUGUGGGAGGAGUAGUGAAAUGCGUUGAUACCCACGGGAACACCAGUGGCGAAGGCGGUUCUCUAUGAGAUUCUUGACGCUGAGACACGAAAGUUAGGGGAGCGAAGCAGAUUAGAGACCUGCGUAGUCCUAACUGUAAACGAAUGUAUGCUGGCUGCAUGAUUUGUCACCUUCGGGUGGUAUUUCGUGUGGCGAAGGUAACCCGUUAAGCAUACCGCCUGGGGAGUACGGCCGCAAGGUUGAAACUCAAAGGAAUUGGCGGGGAGGCACACAACCUGAGGAACAUGUGGUUUAAUUCGAUACGAAACGAAGAACCUUACCAAGGCUUGACAUGCUACCGUACAGCUCGCUGGAAACAGUGGGCAAUCCGCAAGGAUGGUAGCACCGGUGAUGCAUGGCUGUCGUCAGUUCGUUCCGUGAGGAGUGCCCUUAAGUGGGACAACGAACGCAACCCCUGUCGUCUGUUACAAGUGUCAGACGAUACUGCUUCCGGUUUUCCGGGAGAGGAAGGCGGGGCAGACGUCAAGUCAGCACGUCCCUUAUGUCUUGGGCUACACACAUGUUACAAUGAACCUUAACAAUGAGCAUUGCCAGCCCGCGAGGGUCAGCAAAUCUCAGAAAUAGGUUCUCAGUGGGGAUUGGAGUCUGCAACUCGACUCCAUGAACUCGGAUUAGGUAGUAAUCGCGGGUCAGCUAUACCGCGGUGAAUACGUUCUUGCCUCUUGCACACACCGCCCGUCAAACCAACAAAGUUGGUAUUAUGUGAACUGCGGCGAAGCCGUGGGAGCAUAGUGCUAGCGAUGAGGGUUAAGUCGUAACAAGGUAACC
RNAcentral lists this ribosomal RNA (1475 nucleotides) under uncultured bacterium. Its description in RNAcentral is "bacterial SSU rRNA". It matches the Rfam family "Bacterial small subunit ribosomal RNA". The record is from RNAcentral.